UGCCAGCCGCCGCGGUAAUACGGAGGGGGUUAGCGUUGUUCGGAAUUACUGGGCGUAAAGCGUACGUAGGCGGAUUAAUAAGUUAGAGGUGAAAUCCCAGGGCUCAACCCUGGAACUGCCUUUAAAACUGUUAGUCUUGAGAUCGAGAGAGGUGAGUGGAAUUCCAAGUGUAGAGGUGAAAUUCGUAGAUAUUUGGAGGAACACCAGUGGCGAAGGCGGCUCACUGGACCGUGAUCGACGCUGAGGAGCGAAAGCUAGGGGAGCGAACAGGAUUCGAUA
RNAcentral lists this ribosomal RNA (279 nucleotides) under uncultured bacterium. RNAcentral describes it as "partial 16S ribosomal RNA". It matches the Rfam family "Bacterial small subunit ribosomal RNA", at positions 506 to 784 of the family's 1533-position model. The record is from RNAcentral.